UCACUUUAAAGCUAUUUUAAAAGUUAUUUUUGCAGUAAUUUUAUCUAAUUCAUAACUCGAGCGUUGACUACGUCUAUUGAACUUUUGGUCUUUUAUCAACUCUUCAAUUAUAACGGUCCGUGAACUUCAAAGAAAGUAAAUUAUAAAUUUAGUGCAGAAGUGAAAUAAAUAGUUAAUGUUUAUAUUUUUUACAAAAUAAUUCAGGAUAUUCAAUAGGGUUACGAGAAUGACCAUUCUAAAAGAACAAUUAAUAAUCAAAGAAAUAAAUAAAAAGUAAACAAACUGAACAUUCUACUCGCAACCCUAUUGUAGAUCGGGUUCUGAAUCUUGGUUCUCUUGAUAUGAAAUGGUUAAUAAAAGAGUGAGUUACACUAGUCCAGUAAUAAUAUCACGUUACUCACCAACACAGAAAUAAAAGUUGGUAGAAAUUAAAAAAAAAAAAACUAAUGAAGCUUUUAAUUUAAGUAAAAUUCGUUUAUCAUAAAUAAAAUCAUUUAUUGCAUGCUUACCAUAGCGAGAUUUCCAAAACUAAUUUAUAGAGUAAAUAACAUAAACAAUAUUAUAAUAUCAUAUGUAAUCAGUCAGAACAACAACUUUUCUCUUUUAUCAGCCUACUGGUAUCCAU
Molecule: long non-coding RNA, 625 nt
Filed under: Carica papaya (papaya)
Lineage: Eukaryota; Viridiplantae; Streptophyta; Magnoliopsida; Brassicales; Caricaceae
Description: long non-coding RNA (CPAP_LNC013760)
Source: RNAcentral